GGGUGGUCAGAGAGAGGUAGGGGCACUCAGAGAUCCAGCAGGUGCUGCACCAUGAGUGUCUCUGUCCUGAGCCCCAGCAGACUCCUGGGUGGUGUCUCCGGGAUCCUCCCAGCGGCCUCCCUGCUCAUUCUGCUUCUGCUGCUGAUCAAGGCAGCUCAGAUCUACCUGCACAGGCAGUGGCUGCUCAAAGCCCUCCAGCAGUUCCCGUGCCCUCCCUCCCACUGGCUCUUCGGGCACAUCCAGGAGUUCCAACACGACCAGGAGCUACAACGGAUUCAGAAAUGGGUGGAGACAUUCCCAAGUGCCUGUCCUUAUUGGCUAUGGGGAGGUAAAGUUCGUGUCCAGCUCUAUGACCCUGACUAUAUGAAGGUGAUUCUGGGGAGAUCAGACCCGAAAUCCCAUGGCUCCUACAGAUUCCUGGCUCCAUGGAUUGGGUAUGGCUUGCUCCUGUUGAAUGGGCAGACAUGGUUCCAGCAUCGACGGAUGCUGACCCCAGCCUUCCACUAUGACAUCCUGAAGCCCUACGUGGGGCUCAUGGCAGACUCUGUACGAGUGAUGCUGGACAAAUGGGAAAAGCUCCUUGGCCAGGAUUCCCCACUGGAGGUCUUUCAGCACGUCUCCUUGAUGACCCUGGACACCAUCAUGAAGUGUGCCUUCAGCCAUCAGGGCAGCAUCCAGGUGGACAGACCAAGUGAUCCAACUGAGGAAGGCUCAACUACAGAAGGAGGGGGAGCUGGAGAAGAUCAAGAGGAAGAGGCACUUGGAUUUUCUGGACCUCCUCCUCUUGGCCAGAAUGGACAAUGGGAGCAUCUUGUCAGACAAGGACCUCCGUGCUGAGGUGGACACGUUCAUGUUUGAAGGCCAUGACACCACAGCCAGUGGGAUCUCCUGGAUCCUCUAUGCUCUGGCCACACACCCCAAGCAUCAGGAGAGGUGUCGGGAGGAGAUCCAUGGCCUCCUGGGUGAUGGAGCCCCAUCACCUGGAACCACCUGGACCAGAUGCCCUACACCACCAUGUGCAUUAAGGAGGCACUGAGACUCUACCCACCGGUGCCAGGCAUUGGCAGAGAGCUCAGCACUCCCGUCACCUUCCCUGAUGGGCGUUCCUUGCCCAAAGGUAUCAUGGUCUUGCUCUCCAUUUAUGGCCUUCACCACAACCCAAAAGUGUGGCCCAACCCAGAGGUGUUUGACCCUUCCCGUUUUGCACCAGGUUCUGCUCAACACAGCCACGCUUUCCUGCCCUUCUCAGGAGGAUCAAGGAACUGCAUCGGGAAACAAUUUGCCAUGAACGAGCUGAAGGUGGCCACGGCCCUGACCCUGCUCCGCUUUGAGCUGCUGCCUGAUCCCACCAGGAUCCCCAUCCCCAUGGCACGACUUGUGUUGAAAUCCAAAAAUGGAAUCCACCUGCGUCUCAGGAGGCUCCCUAACCCUUGUGAGGACAAGGACCAGCUUUGAGGGCCUCCACCUGCCAUCCUGUCUUCCUAACCCCUGCUCCUGUCCCCUUCCUGUCUGCCCAUAUCCU
This 1522-nucleotide small RNA is filed under the name Pongo abelii (Sumatran orangutan). RNAcentral's name for it is "processed transcript". Lineage: Eukaryota; Metazoa; Chordata; Mammalia; Primates; Hominidae. The record is from RNAcentral.